Molecule: transfer RNA, 86 nt
Filed under: Phialophora macrospora
Lineage: Eukaryota; Fungi; Ascomycota; Eurotiomycetes; Chaetothyriales; Herpotrichiellaceae
Description: tRNA-Thr (AGT) (tRNA-Thr-AGT-1-1)
Source: RNAcentral
GCCCUAGCACCAUCUAACUUCAUCGCAGUUGGUAGAGCGCGGCACUAGUAAUGCCGAGGUCUUGAGUUCGACUCUCAACGGAGGCA